RNAcentral lists this transfer-messenger RNA (317 nucleotides) under Rhodospirillales bacterium. It matches the Rfam family "Alphaproteobacteria transfer-messenger RNA". Rfam says of the family: Bacterial tmRNA, also known as 10Sa RNA or SsrA, is named for its dual tRNA and mRNA-like properties. Lineage: Bacteria; Pseudomonadati; Pseudomonadota; Alphaproteobacteria; Rhodospirillales. The record is from RNAcentral.
GCCUUGCCCAUGGGGGCAUCCCGGGCCUAUAUUGCGGGUGUCGGGUGACCGACUAUGGCGAUAAACGCUGUUCGGAAUAAGCGUAGCGGACCCGGGGGCAGUACCCGGCGCCUCCACCAACUUUCUGAACCCGCCGUGGCGGGCCUCAUGGGGGCGAACCAGGAUCGACGCGCGUGGUAAAGGUGCAGUUUUCGCCCGGCAUGGUACCGCCGUUAUCGGGCCAAUCUGAUAGAUGCCAACGACAAUGAGGCAUAUGCUCUGGCCGCUUAAGGCUUGAGCGGGGUUCGGGAGGCACCUGGCAACAGAAGCCUCCCACC